Molecule: ribosomal RNA, 484 nt
Filed under: uncultured bacterium
Lineage: Bacteria
Description: partial 16S ribosomal RNA
Rfam family: Bacterial small subunit ribosomal RNA
Source: RNAcentral
AUUGAACGCUCGCGGGAUGCUUUACACAUGCAAGUCGAACGGCAGCGCGGACUUCGGUCUGGCGGCGAGUGGCGAACGGGUGAGUAAUGUAUCGGAACGUGCCCAGUAGCGGGGGAUAACUACGCGAAAGCGUAGCUAAUACCGCAUACGCCCUACGGGGGAAAGCAGGGGAUCGUAAGACCUUGCACUAUUGGAGCGGCCGAUAUCGGAUUAGCUAGUUGGUGAGGUAACGGCUCACCAAGGCGACGAUCCGUAGCUGGUUUGAGAGGAAGACCAGCCAGACUGGGACUGAGACACGGUCCAGACUACUACGGGAGGCAGCAGUGGGGAAUUUUGGACAAUGGGGGCAACCCUGAUCCAGCCAGCCCGCGUGUGCGAUGAAGGCCUUCGGGUUGUAAAGCACUUUCGGAAGGAAAGAAACGUCGCGGGCUAAUACCCCGUGGAACUGACGGUACCUGCAGAAUAAGAACCGGCUAACUACGUG